GUCUGUGACCUACACCACAGCUCAUGGCAACACCAGAUCCUUAACCCACUGAGCGAGACCAGGGAUUGAACUCUCAACCUCAUGGUUCCUAGUUGGAUUCGUUAACCACUGCGCCAUGACGGGAACUCUGGAACUCCCUCAAUAUAUCUUUUAAGAAUUCUCCAAAGUAUCACUGGCUGCCCCAGCACCUAGCAGUUGGAACAGGGAAUCAACAUUUGGGAGCUGAUGGGCUCCAUAUACUAGGGUAAGUCACUCUGGUGUGUACAACCAGAAACUUUAUUUCCUUUCUACUUGGGCCUUUUAUUCCAGAAUAAGCCAAUAUGUUUUAUAUUUGAGUGGGGUACCCUAUUGGAAACAGGAAAGAAUUGUUGGACGUUUACCCCAUUCGUGAACUUGUUCUUUCGUUUCUUUUAUUUUUUUUUCUUUUGUUUCUUUAGAUGCUAGCAUCUGUGUGUACAGUUUGCAUUUUGCUUGUCUUGAAUUUGUCUUUAAAAAUAGGGAAUGCUUCAGGAAUUCUCUCUUGGCUCAGUGGAUUAAGGAUCCACCUUUGUCACUGCUAUGGCUCUGGUCACUGCUGUGGUGCAGGUUCAAUACCAGGCUCAGAACUUGUGCAUGCUGCAAGUGUGGCCAAAAAAUGGGGAAUGUUUCAAAUAUCCCUAAAUUCCUCUGAGGUGCAUUUUGGAUAAGUGAUCUGGUUACAGCUGUGAACGCAUGGGUGAGAGGAAGAUGAUUUUAUUGUAAUAAUGUGUUGCCGCAGUAUCAGUUACGAACACUACAGGGGCCUUAGGCAGGGUUAUUUUGAACCCUGUGCACCAUGUACUGCUGUUCGUACAUGGUUUGCUAUUUAAUUGCAUCGUUUGUUGUCUCCUGUGACAUUGGUAUAUAUGUAAAACUCCAAGACCAAACUAGAGGGCAUAUUUAGGAUUUUCUGUUUGUCCUUUGGGUGUCCUGUUUCAUUUUUUUGUUUGCUUGUUAAUAUUUCUUCAUUUACAACCAAAUCAGCAUUGUGAUAUUUAAAACUCUUACUGAUGUCAAAUGGAGGAAAGGGACAGAAAAAAGAAAAACAAAACUCUGUCUCUUCUAGUCCAAGACUGGGACAUUCCCAGGAAGAAGAGAAAGUUUCCACUUGGUUCCCAUAAUCACCAAAAGCAACAAAUAGAAAUGUCUUUUCCAUUAGAUGGCUAAACCCCUUUAUACUAAUAUUAUACAGGUGACUGUGAUGUGUUCUAUUGGGCAGAAACCAAAUUUGAAUCCAAUAUCAUUUGUAACUGAUGGGUUUUACACUAUUGUACUGGAUUCAUGGCUGAAGUUUUGGAAUGAGAACUGUGAGGAUCCUAUGUUUGUAUGUUUACAUAUAUGAUAGAUGUGCGGCAUUUCCAAAUUUGCAAAAAAGAUCUCUAUUUAAUUGGCUUAAAGGAAAUUAAGCACUUAUAUAAAUACUCGUAUAUUAAUAAUCAAAUUUAAAAGAAACUAGCCAAAAUGAAUUUUGAGUUCACGUGAUCUAGGAAGUAGUCAGUAUUAAUUAAUGUAUGAAUUAAUUAAAGUAUGAAUAUCUGGUCUUAAAGUUAGCUUAAGCUUGUUGGUUUCAUUAAUUACAGGCGUCUUUUUAGAGUCAUUAAGUAUAAUACUUUCAUUAUACCUGGGUUUACUAGAAAUCGUAUAUCAUUCCUCUUACAAAGUUUGUAAGCAAGAAAAAAAUAUGACAAAGCUUUUUAAGUAAGUAAAAUAGAGGUAAAUGAGGUAGAAGUUUUAAGUAAACUCUAUAGGAAUAAUUAUGUUUUGGGAAUGUAUGAAAUAGUUUUUCCAGAUUUUUAUAACUUUAAGUUAAAUGAAGAUAAUUCAUUGACUACCUGGGUCAUUUCAAAUAGGAUAAAAUACUAGGACACUAAUUGCUGGGCAGGUCUGAUAUCUUUGCCUUCUCAGGAGAGGAACACUGACACAUAAGUUUGUCAAUCAGGAAAUGCUGGUAUGGCAGGUUAUAAUUACUUGCCUCUUGGUUUUCACUAGAGAUUAAGGCUUUAAGGUUACGACCUAGGAGAAAUAUUUCAGUAUGCAAUGAUGUAGGAUAUGUGUUUUUAGCAAAGAAGGUAUGAGAAAUGCAAAUGCAUUUUGUUAAAGGGAAAAAGGUAGUUCUGUCCUACAGCUGGUUGUUUCUGAAUGGAAAAGAAAGGGAGGAACAGAUUAUAGAUACAGAAAGUUGUAGAAAGUUUGUGGAGGAGGAACACUGAAAGAGUUUUGUGCAUGGUCAGGACUGGCUAAGAUUGAGAUUAAUUCAGAAAAAGAAUUUUAAAGGUAAAGUGGUACAAAACAUGAUUUUGUUUCUCUAAGAGGACAAAGUUGUCUUUAAAUAUUGAAGUGCUUUUAGUAAUGGAUUGUUUCCUCAAAUCAUCUGUAUUUGCCAGUGGUCUCUUAUUAUCACUUGUUAAAACUUUUUGAUAUUUUUGACAAAAAACUUCUCAAAGAUCAAAUUCUAAAUGAAGUUUAUUUUAUUUUUUAAAUGAAGUUUAGAAUUUGACCUUUAGCUAACUCUGAGGUUUUCCAGAUGGUCCCUGGAAUACCUCAAAUUAUUUGUUUUCUCUCCAUCGCAGAGGGGAAUAUUAAACUAAUUAUGCAUAUUCGUUAUGUUAAAUUUUGUGGGAAGCAUUGUCAAAUAAGUGGGAUAAAACUUCUUAGAUUUUAUCUUACGGAUAAACAUUAUUGAUACACAUUCUAGAAAUUAUAUUCCUAAAAUUCUGGUAUAUUCUGGGAAAUGAUAUCAGUCAUAAUUUUAGUAAUUACCUUAAAUUGUUAUAUGUAAUUGAAAAGAAACUUGGUUACUGCUGUGACAUUAUAAUUCUGGUUGGUUGAUGCCAAAGCAAAAAUGCAUCUUUUUAUUUUUAUUUUAUUUUUUUAUUUUUUAUUUUAUUUUAGUCUUGUCUUUUUAGGGCCGCACCCGCAGCAGAUGGAGGUUCCCAGGUUAGGGGUCUAAUCAGAGCUAUAGCUGCUGGCCUACGCCACAGCAACAGCAACGCCAGAUCCAAGCCUUGUCUGCGACCCAUAUCACAGCUCAUGGCAAUGCCAGAUCCUUAACCCACUGAGCAAGUCCAGGGAUUGAACCUGCAACGUCAGGGUUCCUAAUUGGAUUCGUUUCCACUGUGCCACAAUGGGAACUCCAAAAAUGCAUCUUUUUAAUGGUUAGAGAUUAUCAAUUGUUAUUUAUGAUUUUACUGUGGCUUUCAAAUGACUCUGGUUUUACCGUGGCUUUUGAAUCACUGUAUAGAUAUUUUGUGAAGAAACAAGGAAGAAUGAUAAAAUCCUUUAUGUGCAAGCAUUUGUGCUAUUACAUCAAGCUAAAAUAAAGGAAGGGAAU
This 3349-nucleotide long non-coding RNA is filed under the name Sus scrofa (pig). RNAcentral's name for it is "lncRNA (ENSSSCG00005032830.1, ENSSSCG00155023469.1)". The record is from RNAcentral. Lineage: Eukaryota; Metazoa; Chordata; Mammalia; Artiodactyla; Suidae.